This 271-nucleotide ribosomal RNA is filed under the name uncultured bacterium. RNAcentral describes it as "partial 16S ribosomal RNA". It matches the Rfam family "Bacterial small subunit ribosomal RNA", at positions 524 to 794 of the family's 1533-position model. The record is from RNAcentral.
GACGGAGGAGGCUAGCGUUGUUCGGAAUUACUGGGCGUAAAGCGCGCGCAGGCGGCUUAGCAAGUCAGGGGUGAAAGCCCGGGGCUCAACCUCGGAACUGCCUUUGAGACUGCUAGGCUCGAGACCGAGAGAGGAGAGUGGAAUUCCCAGUGUAGAGGUGAAAUUCGUAGAUAUUGGGAAGAACACCAGUGGCGAAGGCGGCUCUCUGGCUCGGUACUGACGCUGAGGCGCGAAAGCGUGGGGAGCAAACAGGAUUAGAUACCCCGGUAGU